AUUGAACGCUGGCGGUAUGCCUUACACAUGCAAGUCGAACGGUAACGGGCCUUCGGGUGCCGCCGAGUGGCGACCGGUUGAGUAAUGCAUCGGAACGUGCCCGAAUGUGGGGGUUCAUGAGGCGAAGCCUUUGGUAAUUCAGCCUACGAUCUCCGGCUGCAUGCGGGGGACAGCAAGGCCUUUCCCGGACGGACGGGCCGAUGGCAGACUAGGUAGUUGGUGGGAUAAAAGCUUACCAAGCCGACGAUCUGUAGCUGGUCUGAGAGGAUGAUCAGCCACACUGGGACUGAGACACGGCCCAGACUCCUACGGGAGGCAGCAGUGGGGAAUUUUGGACAAUGGGCGCAAGCCUGAUCCAGCCAUGCCGCGUGCAUGAUGAAGGCCUUCGGGUUGUAAACUGCUUUUGUACGGAACGAAAAGCCUUCUUUUAAUACAGGGGGGUCAUGACGGUACCGUAAGAAUAAGCACCGGCUAACUACGUG
RNAcentral lists this ribosomal RNA (482 nucleotides) under uncultured bacterium. RNAcentral's name for it is "partial 16S ribosomal RNA". It matches the Rfam family "Bacterial small subunit ribosomal RNA", at positions 30 to 507 of the family's 1533-position model. The record is from RNAcentral.